Molecule: ribosomal RNA, 482 nt
Filed under: uncultured bacterium
Lineage: Bacteria
Description: partial 16S ribosomal RNA
Rfam family: Bacterial small subunit ribosomal RNA
Source: RNAcentral
AUUGAACGCUGGCGGCAUGCUUUACACAUGCAAGUCGAACGGUAACAGGCCGCAAGGUGCUGACGAGUGGCGAACGGGUGGGUAAUGCAUCGGAACGUGCCCAGUCGUGGGGGAUAACUACUCGAAAGAGUAGCUAAUACCGCAUACGAUCUAUGGAUGAAAGCGGGGGACCGUAAGGCCUCGCGCGAUUGGAGCGGCCGAUGUCAGAUUAGGUAGUUGGUGGGGUAAAGGCUCACCAAGCCAACGAUCUGUAGCUGGUCUGAGAGGACAACCAGCCACACUGGGACUGAGACACGGCCCAGACUCCUACGGGAGGCAGCAGUGGGGAAUUUUGGACAAUGGGCGCAAGCCUGAUCCAGCAAUGCCGCGUGCAGGAAGAAGGCCUUCGGGUUGUAAACUGCUUUUGUACGGAACGAAACGGCUCUGGUUAAUACCCGGGGCUAAUGACGGUACCGUAAGAAUAAGCACCGGCUAACUACGUG